This 729-nucleotide long non-coding RNA is filed under the name Durio zibethinus. Its description in RNAcentral is "long non-coding RNA (DZIB_LNC001777)". Lineage: Eukaryota; Viridiplantae; Streptophyta; Magnoliopsida; Malvales; Malvaceae. The record is from RNAcentral.
AGUGUGAAAACAGGUUUCUUCUUGAUUCGUCACUAUCAUAUUGUUGAAGUGUGAAGAACGGUCUUUGGUUAACUUCUUUUUUAUUGGACAAUGUGGAUGGAAGGUUAUCCUUCAAUAGCCUGAAUUAAUCGAGGAAAAAGAUUGGAUACUGGUUAGCUGUUUUGAUGGGCGGAUCGUAGAAUUGUUGUGUUCUUUAAUUACUAGCCUCUUGGAAUUAUUGUAGAUUAUCUCUGUGCGGAAUUCUUGUUUCGUGUUGAUUUACUAAAACCUUUUUGAAAAUCAUUACUGUCAAAAUCUUUGCCUUGUAUUCUUACUGGGAAUUGCUUCUAUUGGCUGUCUUAACUUGAAUUUUGGGCUUCCUUUGUUUUCAUCCCCAUCGAUCUUGAUUGCUUCUACUGUUAUCUAGGUUUAAUUUUUACUCUGUAUUAAUGUUGAUUGCUCAUUGCCUUUUUGAAUUGAUUCUCAGUUUUUAGUUUCUAAAGGUGGCCUAACUAUGGACUUGACUUUGACUAGAGAUUCAAUUUGCCUGCCCAACUGAGUCUUUGUUUGGGAUCGCUUGAGGCUGGUGUCGCGGCCUCACUCGCUUCUAUGUUUGACCCCCCCCCCCCUUUUGUGGGCUUCCAAGACUUUGUAAAAAAUUUUUGCCUUUUAUGAUCUUGAUUUGCUGUUGUUCGGCCUCCUUAUGUCUCAAUUUGUUGAUCAGUGCUUAUUUAAAACUAAAUUGUUGUG